UAUAGAUACUAGUUAUCAAAUAACAGCAAUUUACACAUAUGCUCUUUUCAUGCUGUCAUUUGUCAGAAUAAGGUUUUUGUUAUAUAGAGAGAGAUUUAGAUCAGUAGCUAGAAAUUAGUUUAUGUUACAUUGAUUUGUUAAGCAGAUUAUGGAUGAAGAGUACAAGGAGUUAUAGCUGACGUAGAUCAAUCUCUAUGUAAUGAAGGUAACAUCUUUCAGUCGAUUCUGUGAACUCAACGAAGUAUCAGAAGUUCUUAAGUAUUUUUUCUUUAUAUUCAGUGAUGAAAACAAUACAGUCUGUGGAGCUUAAAGUAGAAAAACUGGCAUGAGAAUAUAGCUUUUUACACUCUAAUUAUAAUUCAGCAAGGAUAAAGCAAAAUGGGUACAAAGCAGACUUGUAACUUGGUUUCAUAUUUGUAGAAGUGACUAAGCAACUUAUAAAGAAAUAAAUUAAUGGAAGAAAUCAGCAAGGAAAGAGUUGAUGUCUUACAAGAAAUGUACAUUAAAUGAAUUUGGAUUUUAACUAGUGCUCCAUUUGUGACAUAGUGUCCAUGAUCCAUUCAUUCAUAUAAUUUAAUUCACUAAAAAAACCCGUGUCUAUUUUAAGCUCACAACAUUUUAAAAAUCUGUAUAAUCUAAGAUGAAGCCUGUGGUUUUAUGUUGUUGUUGUUUUAAUUAUUAUUAUUCUAAUGCUUGUCUUUUUAUUGUCAUGAGUUUCUUAUCCUUCCCUGCUCACCUUCUAUUUAGGAAUAUCUGAACUGAAAAUUUUCCUGAUUGACUUUUUUUUUUUUUUUUUUUUUUUUUUGUCUUUUUAAAUACUGGGUUACUGUUCUAUAGUUUUGCUAAUAUGACUAUGUAUGAGCAUUCUAGAAUAUCUUAGAUGAUUUGGGGUAUGUUCUCUAUGCAAUCCCUAGAUGUACAAAUGAUUCAGAAGAGGGGCUGCAUCUUUAAUUGAGUCAGGAAAAUGAUGAAGGAUACCACCAAAAAUGAUUACUGUUGUGGGAAACAAACAAAUAGAACUUUCAGAGCUGUGUGUUUCAAGCCAUAGAUUAAAUCUCCACAAGACCAUGUUGGAUUGUGCUUUGAGUAAUUUGGUGUCAUGGAAGGUGACUCUGCCCACAGAUGGAAAACUGGAACUAAAUGGAACAGGAUCUUUAAAGUCCUCUUUAACUCAAACCAUUCUGUGAUUCUAUGAUUACUAUAAGCCUAGCACUUAUUUAUUCCUAUUUCUAGCUCAUGUCAAUUUCUUCUGUGCCUCCUAUGGCUAUUAUAGAAUUCCUCUCUGGUUUCUUUUAGUAAUUAUCUGGUGAAUCAGCAAUUUCACUUUUUAAAAAGGUAAAAUAUACAAAAUCUGUUCUUUCCAAAUUCAUUGUCAUGUUGGUGUACUUAUGUAAGUACUUUUCUCAAAAAGACUGUAGAAAUGAUAAAAUUGCACUGUGUUUAAGCUGAAGGCUCAAUGAUUAAAAAAGGAAUGU
Molecule: long non-coding RNA, 1475 nt
Filed under: Coturnix japonica (Japanese quail)
Lineage: Eukaryota; Metazoa; Chordata; Aves; Galliformes; Phasianidae
Description: lncRNA (ENSCJPG00005018232.1)
Source: RNAcentral